This 641-nucleotide long non-coding RNA is filed under the name Salvator merianae (Argentine black and white tegu). RNAcentral's name for it is "lncRNA (ENSSMRG00000011493.1)". Lineage: Eukaryota; Metazoa; Chordata; Lepidosauria; Squamata; Teiidae. The record is from RNAcentral.
UUCAUGGAUACUUCCAUGCAGUCAUUUUUAUCUUGAAGGCGCUUAAAGGCCUUACCCAUGUCUAACGUACUUACUGCUUUCUUUCAGUGCUAAAGAAAUGGAACUAUCCAUGCAGUCUUAUCUCUACACAUAGGUAUGACCCACGAGUUAGCAGAAUGAACUCAGAAAAAGAUGGAGACCUAAAGAGUCAAAUCAGCAAGCUCUGGCAAGAGGUAAACUCCUUGAAAGAAAUGCAAGCCCUGCAGACAGUUUGCCUGCGUGGAACAAAGGUGCACAAGAAAUGUUACUUGGCGUCUGAGGGAGGCAAACAUUUCCACGAAGCAAAUGAAGACUGCAUAGCCAAAGGGGGGACCCUGGCCAUCCCCAGAGANGGCGAUGAAACCAGCGCUCUCCGCGACUACAGCCGAAAGAGCUUGCCCGGGGUGACAGAUUUUUGGGUGGGUGUCACAGACAUGGUGAAUGAGGGGAAAUUUGUAGAUGUCAAUGGAAUGGUCCUCAACUACUUUAACUGGGACCGGUCACAGCCCAACGGAGGAAAGCGGGAAAACUGUGUCUUAUUCUCUCAGUCAGCUCAAGGGAANUGGGCAGAUGAAGCCUGCCGUACUGUGAAGCAAUAUAUUUGUGAAUUCCUGAUUCCUUAA